Rana temporaria (common frog) is the source of this 2994-nucleotide long non-coding RNA. RefSeq lists it as uncharacterized. NCBI's taxonomy places the organism in Eukaryota, Metazoa, Chordata, Amphibia, Anura, Ranidae. The transcript has 2 exons. The record is from RefSeq and is a predicted model, not a curated record.
AGAAUAUUAUUCCAAAUUCAUAAUUCGGCAAUUCAUGGCAAGCUUGCAAAACAUAUUUUGAUUUAUGAUUAAUCAUAAUAAUUAGGUAUGAAUGAAUGACCUUGAUCAAUUGAUAUGACAUAAUUCUUCUAUCCAAAACUGAGCAUUACGGAUAGCCAAUUUGAGAAUGACAUAUAAGGAAUCCUGGUGUAGGUUGACAAGAAUAGAUUCAGAAUAGAUCUGUAUUUACGUAGUGAUAUCAAUAAUAUACUAGUUCAUAUCUAUUGUUAAGCUAGUUUAGUAAAAAUCGUAUUUAUACUAGUAUGUAUUGGUAUAUAGUUACUUAAUGAAGUUAUAGCUUUAUAGCUGAUAAUAUAGGUUUUAUGACAUUGCAUCAUCUGCACACCACUCAGUAUAUUCUAAGUAUAGAGUGUCACAUGUGUGCCUGUCAAUCAAACUCCAUACGACUCUGUGCUAAGAUCUUCAUAUUGCUGAACCUAGCAGAUAUUAAUAUUUGCCAUACAAGGGUCUAAGCCUGGGCCGUAUGAGGUCAUGACGUUCACUUGUAACAUAUAUUUAAGCUUUGCUUUAAAGAAGGCUGGACACAUUUGCACCACACACUUACAUGACACACUGAUACACACUUAAACUAAGACACACUCAUUCACACCCUCUUUGAAAGACAACACUGACAUACUGACAUAUUGACAAGGAGAACAGCUGAAGCCAGAAGUCUAAGAACGUCAUUUCCUGCUUCACUUUGGAAAAUCUCUGAGACAAAAUGGCUUGAAGGCAGCUCACAUGCUUUCAUAAGCUUGCUACAAUACUAUCGAUCCAAUUCCAGAUAUUUUCAUCUACGCUAAACUGAACUUUAUACUAUUUUUCAUUGUGUUUGUGAUGCCACCUGUGUGACAAUAAACUCACACGUUAUUUUCAAAUCAACCUGACUAUGAAUGAUCUUCAUUCAGAUACGCCCUUGAAGCUAUAAGAAUAUUAGUUAUUAAUUUUACAUUCUUACAGUGGCGAGCCAAAGAAAGUACUGUCUUAUCUCUAUUUUUACGGAAAUCUCGACCCUUGAUGAGGGGGGGAGAGAUUGGCGCAGUUUUUGCGAAUAUUCAAGUCUCGAGAAAAAAGACGGUUCAGAACCUAUCAAGCAAGAGGCGUUUGUGUCACGUCAGAUGUGGACAACAGUCCAGUAACAGACGGUUGAUGACGAGAAAUCCUUCUAAUAACGAUAUGGCAUCUAAAAUCAAACAAAUAUGGAGGAUAACAAGCUUCUAUAAAGAGCAAAGAGAAAUUCAAAGUUAAAGAAGAGAUCCUUUUUGGAAGAAUAUUUGACAAAAGAUUUAUAUUUCAUAUUUAUGAACUAUUUUAUCUUAUUCAUCAAGGUUUUUCUAACGGAACUUGAAGAAGACAUUUUAAAGACAUUUCAUGAAGAAACAUUAAUCGGAAGGAACAUUAUCUAUCUAUUAUAGAUAAACAAUUUAGGACUGAAACAUUUGUCCACAUAUACAUUUUUUGAUUAUCCAAUUAUUAUGAUAUUAAUGUUCACAUGAAGUUAGGAUUAUUAUUUUUAUUUAUUUUUAUUUAUUCACAUAUUGAAUGUUAGCACACUCAUUCUAGUUAAUAGAACAUUUUUUGUUCAUAACUUAAGAAAGAUAUCAUUAAUAGAACUAUGGAAAGUUAUGAAAGUUUUAGAGUAUAAAGUAUAUUUCCAAAGAGCUAAAAUAUUAUUUGAGCACAUAUAUGGAAAUAUAUUAUUGCAUUAUUUACUUAUUUUAAUAAUAAUAAUUUUCAUUAUUAUUAUUAUUAUUAUUAUUAUUAAUAUUAAUAAUUAUUGAUAUUAGUCAUCAUUAUGUUAUACAUUUUUAAAAUCUAUACCAUUAUUUCUGGUAAGAUUUUGAUUAGAUAGAUCUAAGAAGAGUUAAAAGUAAAGAGUAAAGCAUUUAGGAAAAGGAAAAUUUCUAGUUGCUUCAGUUCUGAGGAAUAUCGUGUCCAAUCGUUUGAUACAAGGUGGAGAAAAUGAGAUAUGAAUGUAUGUAUGUGUGUAUUAAAUGAUUUAGUAUGAUUAAUCAUAAUUCAGGGGGGAUUGUUAGAAUAUUAUUCCAAAUUCAUAAUUCGGCAAUUCAUGGCAAGCUUGCAAAACAUAUUUUGAUUUAUGAUUAAUCAUAAUAAUUAGGUAUGAAUGAAUGACCUUGAUCAAUUGAUAUGACAUAAUUCUUCUAUCCAAAACUGAGCAUUACGGAUAGCCAAUUUGAGAAUGACAUAUAAGGAAUCCUGGUGUAGGUUGACAAGAAUAGAUUCAGAAUAGAUCUGUAUUUAUGUAGUGAUAUCAAUAAUAUACUAGUUCAUAUCUAUUGUUAAGCUAGUUUAGUAAAAAUCGUAUUUAUACUAGUAUGUAUUGGUAUAUAGUUACUUAAUGAAGUUAUAGCUUUAUAGCUGAUAAUAUAGGUUUUAUGACAUUGCAUCAUCUGCACACCACUCAGUAUAUUCUAAGUAUAGAGUGUCACAUGUGUGCCUGUCAAUCAAACUCCAUACGACUCUGUGCUAAGAUCUUCAUAUUGCUGAACCUAGCAGAUAUUAAUAUUUGCCAUACAAGGGUCUAAGCCUGGGCCGUAUGAGGUCAUGACGUUCACUUGUAACAUAUAUUUAAGCUUUGCUUUAAAGAAGGCUGGACACAUUUGCACCACACACUUACAUGACACACUGAUACACACUUAAACUAAGACACACUCAUUCACACCCUCUUUGAAAGACAACACUGACAUACUGACAUAUUGACAAGGAGAACAGCUGAAGCCAGAAGUCUAAGAACGUAAUUUCCUGCUUCACUUUGGAAAAUCUCUGAGACAAAAUGGCUUGAAGGCAGCUCACAUGCUUUCAUAAGCUUGCUACAAUACUAUCGAUCCAAUUCCAGAUAUUUUCAUCUACGCUAAACUGAACUUUAUACUAUUUUUCAUUGUGUUUGUGAUGCCACCUGUGUGACAAUAAACUCACACGUUAUUUUCAAAUCAA